This 301-nucleotide ribosomal RNA is filed under the name uncultured bacterium. RNAcentral's name for it is "partial 16S ribosomal RNA". It matches the Rfam family "Bacterial small subunit ribosomal RNA", at positions 509 to 807 of the family's 1533-position model. The record is from RNAcentral.
CAGUAGCCGCGGGAAUACGUAGGGUGCAAGCGUUAAUCGGAAUUACUGGGCGUAAAGCGUGCGCAGGCGGUUAUAUAAGACAGAUGUGAAAUCCCCGGGCUCAACCUGGGAACUGCAUUUGUGACUGUAUAGCUAGAGUACGGCAGAGGGGGAUGGAAUUCCGCGUGUAGCAGUGAAAUGCGUAGAUAUGCGGAGGAACACCGAUGGCGAAGGCAAUCCCCUGGGCCUGUACUGACGCUCAUGUACGAAAGCGUGGGGAGCAAACAGGAUUAGAUACCCCAGUAGUCCCUGUCUCUUAUAC